CGAAAGGAAAGCGAUUAUUUCCUGUACGUGGCACUAAAACGCCAAAAAGGUUUUAAAUAACACUCGUUUUUUUUCUCGUUAAGGAAAAUAAAUGGAUAAAAUCGUAUUGAAAAAUAAACCUAAACUCAUCGACUGGCUAAGUGGGGAUCACAUCGGCAUUUUGCAACAUGUUCAAUCUCGAGAGUUUAUAACAGAUGCUGAGUACGAUAUGCUGAAGUACAUUUCAGUUCCUAGAAAGCAGGUUAUUGAACUAAUGGACAUCAUUUUAGGAAAGGGAGAAAAGGUGUGUCGAGAAUUUCUGAAAAUGCUGAAGGAAGAUGAUGUGAACGAAUUUUCUCCACAACUCAGGGACUGGAUUAAAACAGUGAACAAUUCAGACACCACAGACAACGCGGCACAAACAACACCACGCGCUCAAGUAACAAGUCAUAUCUCUGCGUCUGGUGGCACACACUGUAUUUGCACCUACCAUAGCAUUUAAUAGAGGCAACUUUAACAUGAAUGUACUUCCAAACAAUACAAACAGGCCAAAAGAAUAAAGAUUGUGAAGGAGGAGCAUCUGAUAACAGGCCAAUAGAUUGUGAGGAGUUUCUGAAGAAGAAGAUGAGUCCCUUGGUUCAAGGAGUGAAGCAUAUUGACCUUAUUGUUGAUGAUCUUGGUUUACACCCUGAAUCAGUUGCAAAUAUUAGAGCACAGGCAACAGAUCAAAACAAGAUGAGGAAGCUGCUUGACUAUAUUAAUUCUAAAACCAUCGCUGAGCGUCUUGUUGAUGCUUUGUUUAGGCAUGAAAGUGAUCUCAUGAAUGAUCUACUCAGAUGAAAGUUGUGGGAUGUUUACUGAUUAACAAUGUAUUUUUUUUAACCAAAUAUCUGACCGAGUCAAAUGUGGCAUUAUGCAAAACAGCUUAAAGCCAAAACCGUCUCAGGCUUUUAAAAAAUAUGUGAUUGGAAUGUUUACAAAUUUAGUUUUAACUCCUGGUGUUUAUAUAAUGCACUUUUUAUGCUAAUAUUACCCAUUGGGGCGGUUUCAUAGACGGGGAUUAGUUUAGGUCAGGACUAUAGGCUUUAGGUAAAUUAAUUUAAGUAGCCUACUUUUUACAAACAUGCUUUACAAAAGAUUACUUGUGGGCAUUUUGAGACUAAAUAAUGCAUAUUUUAAGAUAUGUCAGCGCAAGCCAUUCCAUUGUGUUUAUUGACAACUGUUUUGUUAUGAAAAUAAAGUUUCGGGUUUUUG
This is an RNA transcript of Triplophysa rosa, 1233 nucleotides long. RefSeq lists it as uncharacterized. The record is from RefSeq and is a predicted model, not a curated record. Lineage: Eukaryota; Metazoa; Chordata; Actinopteri; Cypriniformes; Nemacheilidae. The transcript is spliced from 5 exons.